UACGAAGGGGGCUAGCGUUGUUCGGAAUUACUGGGCGUAAAGCGCGCGCAGGCGGUCUUCCAAGUCAGUGGUGAAAGCCUGGAGCUCAACUCCAGAACUGCCAUUGAAACUGUUAGACUUGAGUACGAGAGAGGUGAGUGGAAUUCCCAGUGUAGAGGUGAAAUGCGUAGAUAUGGGGAAGAACACCAGUGGCGAAGGCGGCUCACUGGCUCGUAACUGACGCUCAGGCGCGACAGCGUGGGGAGCAAACAGG
This 253-nucleotide ribosomal RNA is filed under the name uncultured bacterium. RNAcentral's name for it is "partial 16S ribosomal RNA". It matches the Rfam family "Bacterial small subunit ribosomal RNA", at positions 524 to 776 of the family's 1533-position model. The record is from RNAcentral.